This 1113-nucleotide ribosomal RNA is filed under the name Masticbarbus iridescens. RNAcentral's name for it is "Acrossocheilus iridescens partial large subunit ribosomal RNA". It matches the Rfam family "Bacterial large subunit ribosomal RNA", at positions 157 to 2065 of the family's 2925-position model. The record is from RNAcentral. Lineage: Eukaryota; Metazoa; Chordata; Actinopteri; Cypriniformes; Cyprinidae.
AGCAACAGCUAGCUUAACCCACCUAAUAAUUGAACAAUAUAAAUAAACAAAGUAAACCUAACACCAAAACCUAAACCAUUCUUUUACCUUAGUAUGGGAGACAGAAAAGGUCCCACCAAAGCAAUAGAAAAAGUACCGCAAGGGAAAGCUGAAAGAGAAAUGAAACAACCCAUAUAAGCAUAAAAAAGCAAAGAUUAAAUCCUGUACCUUUUGCAUCAUGAUUUAGCCAGUACACCCAAGCAAAGAGACCUUUAGUUUGAAACCCCGAAACCAGGUGAGCUACCCCGAGACAGCCUAUUAAGGGCCAACCCGUCUCUGUGGCAAAAGAGUGGGAAGAACUCCGGGUAGAAGUGACAGACCUACCGAACCUGGUGAUAGCUGGUUGCCUAGGAAAUGAAUAGAAGUUCAGCCUCAUGCCCCCCAAAUCAACAACACAAACAAGACACUGAGAGAGAUAUGAGAGUUAGUUAAAGGGGGUACAGCCCCUUUAACAAAGGACACAACCUUUCCAGGAGGAUAAAGAUCAUAAUAUAAAAAACACGCCGUUUUAGUGGGCCUAAAAGCAGCCACCUAAACAGAAAGCGUUAAAGCUCAAACGGAAAGAAGUUUAUUAUCCCGAUAAAAAAUCUUACUCCCCUAACCACUACUAGGCCAACCCAUGCCCACAUGGAAGAGACCAUGCUAAAAUGAGUAACAAGAAGGCCUGCCCUUCUCCCGGCACAAGUGUAAGCCAAACCGGACCAACCAUUGGCAACUAACGAACUCAACCCCAGAGAGCAAUGCGGACUACAAAAAAACCAAGAAAAAUCCACAACCUAUCCAUCGUUACCCCCACACUGGAGUGCCAUUAAGGGAAAGACUAAAAGAAGAGGAAGGAACUCGGCAAACACAAGCCUCGCCUGUUUACCAAAAACAUCGCCUCCUGCAACACAACCAAGUAUAGGAGGUCCAGCCUGCCCAGUGACUAUAAGUUUAACGGCCGCGGUAUCCUGACCGUGCAAAGGUAGCGCAAUCACUUGUCUUUUAAAUAGAGACCUGUAUGAAUGGCCAAACGAGGGCUUAACUGUCUCCCCCUUCAAGUCAGUGAAAUUGAUCUGCCCGUGCAGAAGCGGG